UCCUAACCUCUUUCCAUUGAACCUUUCCUGGGAUGUAUAACCUCCGGGUUGAUCUCCUUACUCGAGGAGGGGAUUUAGUCGGUAGGCGCUUCGGCGAAUCCGACACUACCCCCAUUCAGGGGGUGUCUUUUGAAAAUUUCCCCUCCUCGAGGAAA
Agrilus planipennis (emerald ash borer) is the source of this 155-nucleotide non-coding RNA. NCBI's taxonomy places the organism in Eukaryota, Metazoa, Arthropoda, Insecta, Coleoptera, Buprestidae. The record is from Rfam.